GAUGAAGAACGCAGCGAAAUGCGAUACGUAAUGUGAAUUGCAGAAUUCAGUGAAUCAUCGAAUCUUUGAACGCAUAUUGCGCUCUUUGGUAUUCCGAAGAGCAUGCUUGUUUGAGUAUCAGUAAACACCUCAAAAGAUUUUCAUUUUUGAAAUGAUUUUGGACUUGAGCAAUCCCAACACCAGUCUUCACGGAUCGGCGGAGGGUUGCUUGAAAUGCAGGUGCAGCUGGACAUUCUCCUGAGCUAAAAGCAUAUCUAUUUAGUCCCGUCAAACGGAUUAUUACUUUUGCUGCAGCUAACAUAAAGGGAGUUUGACCAUUUUGGCUGACUGAUGCAGGAUUUCACAAGGGUCGGUAAAACGAUUUUUGUAAAACUCGAUCUCAAAUCAAGUAAGACUACCCGCUGAACUUAAGCAUAUCAAUAAGCGGCGGA
RNAcentral lists this unclassified non-coding RNA (431 nucleotides) under soil metagenome. RNAcentral's name for it is "partial contains 5.8S ribosomal RNA, internal transcribed spacer 2, and large subunit ribosomal RNA". The stretch from base 1 to 120 matches the Rfam family "5.8S ribosomal RNA", at positions 35 to 154 of the family's 154-position model. The record is from RNAcentral.